This is a long non-coding RNA of Toxorhynchites rutilus septentrionalis, 4686 nucleotides long. RefSeq lists it as uncharacterized. NCBI's taxonomy places the organism in Eukaryota, Metazoa, Arthropoda, Insecta, Diptera, Culicidae. The transcript is spliced from 3 exons. The record is from RefSeq and is a predicted model, not a curated record.
GUCCCGUCGCACAAAGGGAUAGGGCAUAAUUGUGCUCGGUCUGUCGGCAAUGUUCCUUUUUGUCCGUUUUAUGUGGUCUUUCUUUCUAUUAGGGACCGUCUCCGGAAGUAGAAGUGCGCGUCGUGUAUAGUGAAGGUUUCGUUAAAAGUUCACGUUGUGUUUAAUUGUGAACAUCGUUGACACAUUAAAUUUCAAAAGAAAAGGUCCGACCAGAGGGCCUUUUCUUUAUUUUCUAUAGUCGAGGACGCCAGGAGACCGGAAAAGACACGGCAGAAAAACACUCUGUACCAGGGACAGUCAGUAUAGUCCAGCAAGGAACUAAAGACCAGUUGGAUAGGCGACCGACUUUUCCUCCUACUCGCAGAAAAUCAAAGAAUCAGAUAGCAAGCACCGUGUGCUGGGAAAUUGUGGGUUGCGAGGUUCUGUGUGAGUGUGUUUAGAAGCAGCUUGUAACGACCCUGAGUAAUCCCGAGCAGCAGGCUUUAAAAUUUUUAUUAAAGCAUAAGAAGCCUUUUGAAUACGGUGAAAGGAGUUUUGUUGCAUCAGGAGAAUUAUCUGAAAUAAUUGCUUUGAUUAAAAAAAAGUUGCUGUCAAGAAAUACAAUUAUAAGUAGAACAGAAGCUACAAAUACAACUCGACAAAUGAACUGAUACCGCACAGUUGAGGAAUGAGGAUGUGUUUGCAGGAUAUGUCUAAAAAAGAAGUAUUUAAAAAAAAAAUUAUCAAUGAAGGGACAAACGACAUGUCGAAAUAUAUAUAUGACUCGUUCAAGUCCUUCAUCGCUAAAACAUGAUUUCCAAAAAAAAAAUAUUGGUAUCGAUUACGACUGAUGGAGCUACUGCACGGUUGGAAAUCAUAAUGGAUGUAUGAAUCAUUGCUGAUAAUAUUCCAAAUUUUAUCAAUUACCAUUGUAUUCACCAGCAAAUACUGUGCGCAAAAAUAUUGAAAUCCGAUGAUGUGAGGAAUUUAACACUCAAAACAGUCAAUAUAGUUAGUUAAAAUAGUUAACUACGUAUAGAAAUCAGUUUGAAGAAACGCAAAUUUCAGGGCAAUAGAAUUGAGAAUCAAAUAUUUUCAUUAUUAUUACACCCCGAGGUGCCAAGUUUUUUGACGUAGGACUACGUCUUUAAUUUCUAUACCGGGUGUAAAAUCAAAGUUUCGAAAACGAAAGCAUUACGCCGUAGACCGAGAUUUUGAGCGUUAAUAGCUCCCAAACAACCGAACGAAAUGGUAUGAUGAACACUUCAUUCGAAAGAUAAAAUGUCUACGCGUUAUAUACUUGUUACUUUUUCAUCCAAAAACUUGUUUCAAUAGUCUUAAAAUUGCUUUCAAAACAGGCUAUUGAAAUCACCAAUCGGUAUAUGAGCGAGCGUCACUCGGAAAUCCACUCAGUUAUUACUGAACAGCGAUUGGAGCAUGUUGUCGCUGUUGUGGUGAAGCUAACUUCGUUUAUCAUUAAAGCGCUGAUGAACGGUGUCACCAAGAGUGUGUUUGUGCACCUUAGGUCAGAAGGGAAUCCAUCAGGAGGAGAGUGAUGCCACAAACGGUUUCGAUCUGAAACGCAUUCAGUUUGUUUGAAACUGUGAGGGAGCGCAGGAAAGCCGAUCCAUCAGGAGGAGAAUAGAAGGCGACUAAGAGAGUAUCAGCUUCGAAAAACAUCGGAGACAUCGGAGCAGCCGCCACACACACACAUACACGCGCGGAACUAUUUUUGUUUGGUUGCCAUUCAGCGUCGAGAAGAUUCUGGAAAGAUGUUAUCGUUGCUGAAAAAUAAUCUGCCAGUUCCCCUGGGAAUUGGAAAAAACAUUCAAGCGAAAGAGUUUAUUUUAAUGUUUUCUAAUCAUAUAACACUGCGACCAAAUACAUUUGGUUUUGUGAUUUUUCAACCAAGUGCGAUCAACGUAAGACCACGUAUUUCGUCAAUUUAUUUGAGGUCUUAAGAAGGAAUUCCCGCUCUACGCGCACUGGCAAACGAUGUUUACUCAACAAUUUCUCAAACGAGAAAAGGGGUGUUGUGAGAAAGGAUGAGCGAACGCAAAAAUUACAGUUGUGUUCAAAAUAAUAGCAGUGCUGAUUGAAAAUCUGAAAUAAGAUAAUAAUUUGUAAUUAGCGCUUUGCUCCGAAUUUUUUUCAUAGUGUAUUUUGAACAGAGUUUCAAUAGAACAAGUGUAUGGUAUUGGUUGCAAGAUUUCAUUUUAUUAUUUAAUAAAAUAAUCAUUUGUUCAGAAAAGUUUGUGUUCAAAAAAAUAGCAGAACUUCAGUUAACAGUAGGAAAACAUGAUUGAAAUGAUGAAAGAUUUCGAAGUUGUUCUGUAACAUGAUUAUCCACCUUAGUACUUUGUAGCGUAGCCCUUAUUCUUAAUAACAGCAGCACACCGUUUCGGCAUAGAGUCCACAAGUGCUUGGCAGCGAGAAUCAGGUAUUGCAGCCCACGAAUCACGAAUUACAGACCAUAAUUCUUCAAAAAAUUUUGGUAUGGCUUCAGAAACAGCGUAUUUGACAUCUCCCCACAAAUUUUCAAUAGGGUUUAAGUCUGGAGACUGCGCUGGCCACUCCAUAACCUCAAUAUUCUUCUCCUUAAACCACGCCUUAGCACGUUUGCUCGUGUGUUUAGGAUCGUUGUCCUGCUGCAUCACCCAUUUUAGUGGCAUUUCCUCCUCAGCAUAAGGUAACAUAACCUCACUGAGUAUCUGAGUAUCAUGUUGAUCCAUGAUGCCUGGUAUGCGAUAAACUGGCCCGACACCGUUGUACGAAAAACUUCCCCAUAUCAUAAUUUUUGCUCCGCCGUGCUUUACUGUCUUAAUCGUGUACUGCGGUUGAUAUUCCGUAUUGCGUGGACGUCUCACAUACUGACGACGACCUUUGGACCCGAACAAAACUAUUUUGGACUUAUCCGCCAUUACGCCAUUUUUCUUUCGGCCAAUCGAUAUGCAUUUUAGCAACAUUGAGGUGAUUCGAAAUAUGACGUUUUGUCAACAAUGGUACUUUCCGAGAACUUCGUGCGUAUAGUUUGGCUUCCGUCAAUCGUCGUCUGACUGUAACAGUGCUCAAAGUUAAGUCUAGUUCAUCUUUGAUGUUAUUAGAAGACAAAGUUGGAUCAGUCAGCAUCUUGAUGAUUCUUCGAUCAAUUCUUUCAGAAGUGCAACGUUUCCGGCCACGAGUUUCCAACUUGUUUUUCCAUUUCAAAGCAUUGCUUAUCACUUCUGCCGAGCACCCCACUGUUUGCUGUACUUGUCUGUAAGUUUUGCCUUGAUUUAUCAACGUUUUGAUAAAAUUGCGCUGCAGAGCAAUGUUUUCCGCGACCCAUUUUCUGCAAUACAAACAAAACAAACAUAUUUUCUUGCACAUAUCUUAGUUUUUAUAUACUUACCGACUAACAAAAUAGCAAAAAUUGUAUGAAACUCGGAAUGGAAACAAACUUUGUUUGAAAUCGUUUUUCGCUGCUAUUAUUUUGAACAACGCGAAAUGGACUCAGCCGGAAGUAUCAAAUGAUAUAUACACUGGACGAAAUUGUAUUGCUAUAAACAAUAUGGGUUUUGAACGGGUGAUGACACCUUUAUAUAUUCAUAUGAUUAGUUGAAUAGUAAUAAUAUUAAGAAAUAGCAUCAGGUGCUGCUAUUAUUUUGAACACAACUGUAUGUAGAUUUGAUGCAACAGAUAUUUUGUCUAUUGGAAAUGGAAUACAAAUCAUAUCACAAUACAAGCAAUGUUUUAUGUAUUAUAUAACUUUCGUGUGAUAGCUUCUUUUGCUGAAUAUUGUGCCUCCAACGUAACGCUCUCGUUUUCGAAGUCCCCCAAAUAUUCAUUUAUUCAUUCAUUCAGAAUUGAUUCAGAUGCAACUAAAAACAAAUGAUCACUAAAUCAACGAUAGUCCUACGUCACCCUUGCGGUUAUACCACAGAUAUAACCCACUUCCUGUUUUUUCAAAAAAGAAUUAAUGGUAACUGCCAAGGAAUCAUAUCCUCAAUAAAUAAUGCAUAAUAUUGUUUUUCGUUGUCAUCUAAGCGAAGCAAAAUAAAUCAAAUUUGAAACAUCAAGAAAAAAACUGAGAAUACUCUUAAAAGCAUAAUUUAGAAGACGAAAUUUGAAGCAAUUCGAAAAUAUUGCGACUUAAUCAGCAGAUUAACACAUAUGAAUACGAUCGUUAUGCAAAUUAAAUUUCUUCGUUACGAAAUAAAUUCGACAGAAGAUUUGAAGAUAUUUAAAAAAUAGACCGCAUAAUAUAAUUCAUCUCAUUUCCAUUCAAUGAUGUAAUCAACAUAGAAGAAAUAUCAAUGAAAUUUAAAAGAAUUAAUUGAAAAUGGGAUCUUUAAUUUUAAUAGCGAUAUAUUUUUAAAAUCUCUUGAUUUUGAAAGUAUUUCAAUUUCAAAAAUGUAUUUACUGUACUUGUUGAAAUUUAGUUUGCGAGGAAAUGUGUUGCAUUUUUGUUGCUUUUUUCGUAUAUAUUUAUACCCGAAAACAAUUUUUUCCACUAUGAAUACAAUCGAAACAAAACAUCGCUCUCCUUUGACAGAUUACUAUUUGGCAGCCUGUUUGCAAUUGAAUGGAAAAACUGCAAUUGUGGAUCAUUUUGCUUUCAGCUAAAACACGCAAUGCAAAUAUUUGACCAGAGAAUAAUCAAAGCUGGUAAUGAUAUUUCUAGAAUUCUAAGUACGAAUAAACUGCUUAAAGUGAACAGUGGUAUAA